CGAAAUUGAAAGGCGGCUUCGGCUGUCACUUAUGGAUGGACCCGCGUCGCAUUAGCUAGUUGGUGAGGUAACGGCUCACCAAGGCAACGAUGCGUAGCCGACCUGAGAGGGUGAUCGGCCACACUGGGACUGAGACACGGCCCAGACUCCUACGGGAGGCAGCAGUAGGGAAUCUUCCGCAAUGGACGAAAGUCUGACGGAGCAACGCCGCGUGAGUGAUGAAGGCUUUCGGGUCGUAAAACUCUGUUGUUAGGGAAGAACAAGUGCUAGUUGAAUAAGCUGGCACCUUGACGGUACCUAACCAGAAAGCCACGGCUAACUACGUGCCAGCAGCCGCGGUAAUACGUAGGUGGCAAGCGUUAUCCGGAAUUAUUGGGCGUAAAGCGCGCGCAGGUGGUUUCUUAAGUCUGAUGUGAAAGCCCACGGCUCAACCGUGGAGGGUCAUUGGAAACUGGGAGACUUGAGUGCAGAAGAGGAAAGUGGAAUUCCAUGUGUAGCGGUGAAAUGCGUAGAGAUAUGGAGGAACACCAGUGGCGAAGGCG
Molecule: ribosomal RNA, 542 nt
Filed under: Bacillus cereus
Lineage: Bacteria; Bacillati; Bacillota; Bacilli; Caryophanales; Bacillaceae
Description: bacterial SSU rRNA
Rfam family: Bacterial small subunit ribosomal RNA
Source: RNAcentral